Molecule: long non-coding RNA, 544 nt
Filed under: Mus caroli (Ryukyu mouse)
Lineage: Eukaryota; Metazoa; Chordata; Mammalia; Rodentia; Muridae
Description: lncRNA (MGP_CAROLIEiJ_G0003724.1)
Source: RNAcentral
AGGACAGGGAAGGCACAUGUCAGUCUAAAGUAAUAUCAAAGAAAGAGAGAGCAGUGCUGGAGACAUCAUGAGCGUGACUGAUCGUGAGCAUCUCUAAGUUUCCAAUUGCCUGUGGGCUUCAAUGGCCUAACCAACACCACCAGCAACAGCAGCAAAAGCAACGAGUGAGCCUCUAAAGAUUUCCCCAAUUCAAGCUGAAAAACACUACACCUACUAAAUGGUUUUAACCCUUUUGAAAAAUAGCCUUAGAAACCACCAGUGGUUUCUUAAGAGGCUUCUGUGAAGAUCAGGUGUACAAAAGGCACACACUGGCAGAUCAGCUUUCUGUCACAACUCACCAGCUCCGACACAGCUUCUUGGAAGAAAUGGAGACCACUGAACGAGAGAAGAGUCACAUAACAAUACUAAAACGUGCGGACAGCCCUUUGGCCGGAUGAAGCACCACGAGAUAAGGGCUGUUCCGUUUGUUCACUGUAUUGUAGCAAACAAAAUGGAAUCCAGCACAUACCCACAAAGAGCUUGAAUAGCAGGACAUAAAAAUGAC